Molecule: long non-coding RNA, 571 nt
Organism: Mytilus californianus (California mussel)
Lineage: Eukaryota; Metazoa; Mollusca; Bivalvia; Mytilida; Mytilidae
Exons: 3
Source: RefSeq, a predicted model, not a curated record
AGGUUCUUUCUGUGACAUGUUUUCAUGGUGUGGGAAUAAGACUUGGUGGUCUAAUACAGCUAAUAUGUAGGUUAGCUUCACAGCUUAUCUGUAAGGAUUGAGGCUGGGAAUGGUCAUUGGAGCUGAAAUUUAUGGUAACUUUUACUGUGGCUGCAUAAAAUGACUGUGUGAUAUCACUGUAACAGUGAAGAAUGUAAUUUAGACAAUUUUUGUGUACGCUUGAAAAAUUUUUUAUAAUUUAAAAAAAAAAAAAAAAAAAAAAUGUGUAAAGAUUCUCCAUUUUCAACAAGAUUGGAAGUUGUAGGUUAAAUUGUAUUUGAAAUUCAAAAUUUCGUUUUCUUUUUUCCAUUAAAGCCCUAUGGCAAUAUUUUGGUAGCUCUUCUCAUGUCAAUUAUUGCCUUGACAUAUUAAUUUUUAUUCUUUUUUUUUAAAUGAAGUGAAACGGACUAAUUUUACUUGAAGACCUACUUAAGAAAUAUUAAUAAUGGUCCGUGUCUAGUCAAAACACUUCCAGUAGGUUCAGAAUGAAGAAUCUUAAAAAAAAAAAAAAAAAAGAAAAAAAAAAAUGAAA